AGAGUUCCCUUCUGGCUCAGGAUGAACGCUAGCGGCAGGCUUAACACAUGCAAGUCGAGGGGCAGCAUGAGACGGAGAUUCGUCGAAGUCUUGAUGGCGACCGGCGCAAGGGUGCGUAACGCGUGAGCAACUUGCCCUUAUCAGGGGGAUAACCGUUGGAAACGGCGACUAAUACCCCAUGGUAUCCGAUACGGGCAUCCGUGUUGGAUUAAAGAUUUAUCGGAUAAGGAUAGACUCGCGUGACAUUAGCUAGACGGCGGGGUAACGGCCCACCGUGGCGACGAUGUCUAGGGGUUCUGAGAGGAAGGUCCCCCACACUGGAACUGAGACACGGUCCAGACUCCUACGGGAGGCAGCAGUGAGGAAUAUUGGUCAAUGGUCGGGAGACUGAACCAGCCAUGCCGCGUGAAGGUUACGGCCCUAUGGGUCUUAAACUUCUUUUGCGAGGGAGCAAUAAGGUGCACGUGUGCACUGAUGAGAGUACCUCGCGAAUAAGCAUCGGCUAACUCCGUGCCAGCAGCCGCGGUAAUACGGAGGAUGCGAGCGUUAUCCGGAUUUAUUGGGUUUAAAGGGAGCGUAGACGGGAUGUUAAGUCAGUUGUGAAAUGCUGUGGCUCAACCAUAGCACUGCAGUUGAUACUGGCGUUCUUGAGUGCGUAUGAGGUACGUGGAAUUCGUGGUGUAGCGGUGAAAUGCUUAGAUAUCACGAAGAACUCCUAUUGCGAAGGCAGCGUACCAAUCCGUAACUGACGUUGAGGCUCGAAAGUGUGGGUAUCAAACAGGAUUAGAUACCCUGGUAGUCCA
RNAcentral lists this ribosomal RNA (803 nucleotides) under uncultured bacterium. RNAcentral's name for it is "bacterial SSU rRNA". It matches the Rfam family "Bacterial small subunit ribosomal RNA", at positions 8 to 797 of the family's 1533-position model. The record is from RNAcentral.